Molecule: transfer RNA, 72 nt
Filed under: Bos taurus (domestic cattle)
Lineage: Eukaryota; Metazoa; Chordata; Mammalia; Artiodactyla; Bovidae
Also listed under: 4 other names
Rfam family: tRNA
About the family: Transfer RNA (tRNA) molecules are approximately 80 nucleotides in length. Their secondary structure includes four short double-helical elements and three loops (D, anti-codon, and T loops).
Source: Rfam by way of RNAcentral
UCCCUGAUGGCUCAGAUGGUAAAGAAUCUGCCUGCAAUGCGGGAGACCCGGGUUCGAUCCCUGGUUUGGGAA